UCCUUCUAAAGCUAAAUAUUGGCGAGAGACCGAUAGUGAACAAGUACCGUGAGGGAAAGAUGAAAAGAACUCUGAAAAGAGAGUCAAACAGAACGUGAAAUUGCUGAAAGGGAAGCAUUUGGAGUCAGAUGCGUCUUCAUGUCAUUACCACCUCAGUGGCAGAGGCUGAGUGUUGGUUACUUGAUGGACGGGCCAGCACUCACGUAGGCCAUUGGAAAAGGGGUCAUGGAAUGUAGCUCAAGUUUUUGAGUGAUUAUAGCCUUGAUUCAUAUACAAUGUGUCCUUUAUGUGUGAUUGAACAGCACGGGUCUUUGACUCAGUGCUUGAUUGACUGGCAUAAUGGCUCUAAGUGACCCGUCUUGAAACACGGACCAAGGAGUCUAACAUGUAUGCAAGUAUUAGAGUGAUUGAAACUCUAAAUGCGCAAUGAAAGUGGUCUUGACUGAGAAUCCUUCAAUGAAUGAGGGGGAGGCAUCAGUACCCCGAGUCUGUUAGUCUUUGACUGAAGAUUUGGAGGUAGAGCAUAUAUGUUGGGACCCGAAAGAUGGUGAACUA
This 555-nucleotide ribosomal RNA is filed under the name Craterellus sp. G1340. RNAcentral's name for it is "eukaryotic LSU rRNA". It matches the Rfam family "Eukaryotic large subunit ribosomal RNA", at positions 305 to 833 of the family's 3401-position model. Lineage: Eukaryota; Fungi; Basidiomycota; Agaricomycetes; Cantharellales; Hydnaceae. The record is from RNAcentral.